Molecule: ribosomal RNA, 544 nt
Filed under: uncultured bacterium
Lineage: Bacteria
Description: bacterial SSU rRNA
Rfam family: Bacterial small subunit ribosomal RNA
Source: RNAcentral
CACGUGGGGAACCUGCCCAUGAGAGGGGGAUAACAUCCGGAAACGGAUGCUAAUACCGCAUACGUCUUUGAACCGCCUGGUUCGAAGAUGAAAGACGGCUUCGGCUGUCGCUCAUGGAUGGCCCCGCGGCGCAUUAGCUAGUUGGUGAGGUAAAGGCUCACCAAGGCCAUGAUGCGUAGCCGACUUGAGAGGGUGAUCGGCCACAUUGGGACUGAGACACGGCCCAAACUCCUACGGGAGGCAGCAGUAGGGAAUCUUCCACAAUGGGUGCAAACCUGAUGGAGCAAUGCCGCGUGAGUGAAGAAGGUUUUCGGAUCGUAAAGCUCUGUUGUUAGUGAAGAACAAGGGAAGUAGUAACUGGCUUCCCCUUGACGGUACCUAACCAGAAAGUCACGGCUAACUACGUGCCAGCAGCCGCGGUAAUACGUAGGUGACAAGCGUUGUCCGGAUUUAUUGGGCGUAAAGCGAGCGCAGGCGGUCUUUUAAGUCUGAUGUGAAAGCCCACGGCUCAACCGUGGAAUGGCAUUGGAAACUGGAAGACUUG